GGAGCAGGUCGGGCGAUCGCUGGCCAGGUUGUUCGCAAUCUGGCGGGAGGAAGGUCCGGACUCCGCAGGGCAGGAUGCUGGCUAACGGCCAGGCGCAGCAAGCCGCAAGGCCCAGGGCGACGGAAAGUGGCACAGAAAACAUACCGCCAAAGGUGGCACCUCGCCGGUGCUCCGGUCUUCGGGCCGGAACUCGGUAGAAGCUGCCCGGCAAGGGUGAAAAGGCGAGGUAAGAGCUCACCGCAGGACCGGCGACGGGACUGGCAGGCCAAACCCCAUCCGGAGCAACACCAAAUAGGCACGCGCGCGGUUCGCCGCACGGGGCGGCCCGCCCCGGCGUGCGGGUAGGUGGCUGGAGCGCCCGGGUAACCGUGCGCCUAGAGGAAUGAUCGUCAGGCCGCGCGAGCGGCCCACAGAAUCCGGCCUACAGACCUGCUCCACUC
Molecule: RNase P RNA, 440 nt
Filed under: Burkholderiaceae bacterium
Lineage: Bacteria; Pseudomonadati; Pseudomonadota; Betaproteobacteria; Burkholderiales; Burkholderiaceae
Description: RNase P RNA component class A
Rfam family: Bacterial RNase P class A
About the family: Ribonuclease P (RNase P) is a ubiquitous endoribonuclease, found in archaea, bacteria and eukarya as well as chloroplasts and mitochondria. Its best characterised activity is the generation of mature 5'-ends of tRNAs by cleaving the 5'-leader elements of precursor-tRNAs. Cellular RNase Ps are ribonucleoproteins.
Source: RNAcentral